GGCCAGUGUGCCAGGAGGAGGCUGAUUCUCAGGUGGUUCCUUUGACAUGGUAGCACCUUAGAGGGGUCCCAAGUGUCACUUAAUGCCCCCUUAUGACAGCUAAUGGUCUGGGUUGGAAGGACAGGAACCCAGCCCCUCUAGCUGUUGGAGACAACGUGAAGAGUCCCAGGCAGGCCCCAGAAUGACCACAGCGCAGCUUCUGGACCUUCUCGGUCCCAGAGUCUUCUUUGAACCAACCAGGCACGGACCCCCUGGGCUGUGCUGCCCAGUGCCUCUGAGUGAGGCAAGCAGGGGUACAGGAGGGGAACCCCACUUCCUGAGUGGCCCUCGAACUCCCGACAGCUAUGAAAAGGCACAAGAGGCUGGGGCAGCUGGAGUGUGUCCUGAAGCAGGUGUCACUGGGCUGGGAAUGUAACUUGGGGUAAGGGCACUUGCCUAGCACCUUGUGACGCUGUAGGUUUGUCCCCAAUACUGCAAAAGCAAAGCAAGGCCACAGAGCAGGUGAUGGGAAGGCGGAAGACAGGAAGUUUGACUGUCACUGUACCCACAGACUGGAGCCUGUCACCCAUGACAGGUGCUGACCACUGGAGCAGGCCAAGCUACGGGGUGAGGGAGGAAGUUCAGGGACGCUGCUCAGGCUGCUGCACUCGCGCAGGCAGGGUCAGCACUGAGCUCCACGACACGGGGAGCCUCCUGAGCAUCAGAGGAAGGCCACUGGAUGCUGGGCAGUGCCAUUAGCACCCACAGACUGGGGCCUGUCACCCAUGACAGGAAGGCCACUGGAUAAGAAUGGGGGGAUCCUCUGGCCUCCAUUGUCUUCCUUCAUCUCUUUCCUGGGCCCUCCCUGUGUCCCUUUUCCUGCUCAUUCUCAGUCCUGGGUGGCAGUAGCAAGGUCCUCUUGGGUGGGACAAAUGAGUCCUGCACAUUUUUAAGUAUUGUACAAAUUUUAAUUUCUAAACAAGUCAGUAUCAGCCUCCAUAACCCACUGAACCCAAAAGCGUCUGUAGCCCUUUCUUAUUAUGAAAGUGGAAAAGGUUUUGGAAGCCUAAGAGGGAGUGGACCACGGGGGGUUAUCCCCAGGCGUGAAUGGGCCAUUUCUUGCUCUGACCUCACAAGGAGCCGUUGAGGGCAUUUCAAACACUGAGUACAGCAGAGGCUGGCUGCGGCUGGGUUUUUGUCCCUAAGUGCAGGAAGCAUUUGGUGGCCACCUGUCAGACUCUUAGAUAGUUAGUGCGUUUAGUGGUUGGUGGUUGUGGUCUUUGGAUGUUGGUUUUUUGAUUUGGGGUUUUUAUUUUGCUUGGUUCUGGGUUUUGUUAUUUUUUUUUUCAGCUAGCAUCCUUAGCUGAGGAUGUGCAGUAAGAGUAGUCAGAGCAAUGUAGCUGUAGGCACCACUCCCGCAAGGAGACCACCUACACGGACCAUCGUCGGGUCCUGAGGAUCACCUGGCAGGGUGGUUUCGCCCCGACUGAAUUAGCCUGCUGUCUCCUCCCUGGGACAGAGGUGGUGGUGAAAGUCCUAUGGAGCGGAACAUCCCCGUCCUAUCUGAACUGGAUACGAUGAUGGCCACGGAACACCAAAAUGUGAUCCAGCUCUUUCAGGGCAUUGAGACCAUUGAAAAUAUCUACAUCGUCAUGGAGUAUGCAGGUGGGGGACAGCGACAGCACCCCAUCCCAGAGCCCAGUGGCAUGCAGAAAGAAAGAGGAGGCCUGGAGACUGUUGGGGCAGAUUGUGUCAUGUGCUACGGCCACAAGAAGGGAAUCACGAACCUAGACCUGAAGGCAGGGUCAUCCUGGUAGAUGCCAGAGGCAACAUCAAACUCAUCAACUUUGGCCUGAGCACCAGGUUCGUGGUGGGGCAGAAGCUGAACGAGAUCUGGGGUGCUCUCCUGUACGUUGCCCCCGAAGUCAUCCACUGGAAUGAAUAUGAGGGCAGCCACCCCCACCCAUGGGCAUCUGGAGCUUGGAUGUCAUUCUAUAUUUUAUGGUCACAAGGGGACGCCCAUUUGUGGUGACCACUGCUAAGCAGCUAAAGAAGCAGAUGGUGCAGUCCAGAUACUACCUUCCCCCACACAUUUCCGAGACACACAGAACCUCGUCAAUCAAACACUAAUGGUGGACUCCACACAGAGGCCCGCAGUAGAGCAGAUAACGGGGCACCUGGGUGAGGAAUAUUCACCCAAUCAUUCUAGAGAGCCACUCCCCAAACACUCAGACCCCGUAAUUAUGAAAACCAUGCUUGACAUGGGUUUCGAUUAUGACCCCUAUAAUUCCUGGGUUUCCCUGGCAAAUAGGAAAUAGGAAAAGGUGAUAGCUAUGUAUCUGAUACUCCAGCGCCAGAUAACCCGGGGAGCCGGCUGCAAGUUCCAGAUGAAGUGAGUCGGGGGAUCAGGCCAGGCCCAGUGGAUCUUUCCAAUGUCUGCCCAAAGAAGAGUACCAGUGAACCAGCCCUUCCCACCUCCCCUUGCCCUGUGAGCACAGCUACUGGGGAAGCCGAGGGCAGAAGGGCGGUGGAAGUGCCAGUUUGCCUACCAUUCAUCUCUGCUUCCUGUGUGCGAGGACCCCUCCUCCCAGCAGGACCCUGUAGGUGAGUCACAGCAAAAGGCAGCACAGCCUCCCAAGGUACCUCCACAGGGCAAUCCCAUGACAACAGCAAGGACUGGAAAGGAGUCUCUAGGAGGACUGCCACAUCCAUUCAACAACUGUGGUGUCGCGUGCCAUGCUUUUUGCAGGCCGGCAUUCAGAAAAAGAAGUGGUUCCAAUGAAAACGCAGAGCUGAGGCCGACAACACCAGUGGGCAUCCAGAAGACCCUGAGCUCUGUGGCUCCUGACAUCAGGGUACGGGUAUCGCUCGGGCAUGGCCUCAAACAGCUGCAGGGGCCAGGUUGUGCCAACGGGCUCGGGCUUCUCGGCACAGAUUCUAGCCAGGAGCGCAUUUGGAUCCACCAGGAGUCUCCUCCGCCCCCUCCUGCAAGAGACAUCAGACACUCCUUUCCCUGGGACACUUCCCCUGUCCUGCUCUCCUCUGUCCUUUCUCCCAUGCUUCUGGGAUAGCAGAAAUGGUUCUUAAUACAUUUCUGUUCCUCACAAAUUGUGUAAUAAAAUUGAUGUUACAGCGUCUGGAGUUGUGCCUCAGCGGUAGAGCGCUUGCCUAGCAUGCAUGAGGCACUGGGUUCCAUCCCUGGCACCACUAAAAAAAUAAAAACAAAUAAAAUAAAGGUACUGUGUUCAUCUACAACUAAAAUAAAUAAAUAACUAAAUAAAGAGAAGGGGAGACCUCAGGGCAAGAGCAGGAGCCCACUGCCAUCUUUCCUCCCCAAGGCCUGGACCACUGUGCCUCCCUCUCCUGUUCAUGGUAGACACUCACUUACCUUUAGCCAGUGUAGACAGGGACUCAUUUUCCUUGAGCCAUUGUAGAAGGAGACUCACUCCCUCUGGCCUAGUGUGGAUGGAGGUGCUUGCUCCCUUUGGGCCAGUGUAGACUUGAUUGAUUGAGCUGGUCGCUUUGGCUAGGAGUCCCUUUCCUGGUCUUCAGGCCCCUUCCUGAGUUCUGUGGACAGGGGGAGUGGCAGCUGCUAGAGAAGACACGUCUGGCAAGGCACUGAAGACCCCAAAGUGUUCUGUGGCGUCCUGAGUCUGCACGUUUGGAAUGGGCUUCCGCUGAGCAUUCAGGAGAGCUUUUAACCUGGGGCCAAAAAUAGUAAGUGGAACAGGAUUUAGUUGGCUCCUUCUCAGGUUUGGACAGCCUCCGGCACAGGGUCUUAAAUGGGGGAGGGGGACAGAGCGGCCAAGUGUUUCCCCAGGGAAUCCUUGCCUGUGGCCGGCAGCCCUAACAGGUCCUGGGCCCAGGGAUCCUGGUGCUGUUAGGCUCCUGUCAUCCCACAAUGACUGUCACCAGUAAGUGCCAGGGUUCCACCCUGGCAACUCCACUUAAAACUGAAGUUGAAAAUACAACUGGCAACUAAUCUUCUGGAGAAAUGGCUCAACUCUAAUAAUCAUCAGGUAGAUGUGAAUCUAGUCCCAGCCACAAUCCCUUUUUUUUAAUAUUUUUUAAUUGUAGAUGGACACAAUAUCUUUAUUUAUGUGGUGCUGAGGAUCGAACCCAGUGCCUCACUGGUAUGAGGCGGGCGCUGUACCACCAAGCCACGGCCCCAGCUCCCAGCCACAGUUUCUUAGUACCCUGACAGCCUGCAGCUCACGGUGGAGCUCCGUGGAGUUCACUACCACCCGCCAAAGUAAAGGGUGAGAACUAAAAGAGCUACAGGAUGUGAGCAUUUUUCAGAGCCAUAAAAUGAGAACAGAUGUUCAAAAUGAGAUCCCCGGUGCUGCCAGAGGGACAGCGAGAGGCUGCCGCUUGUGCAUGGGGGCAGUACUGGGAGCCUUUCGUGUCUUGUGAUUCAGAGAGCAAUCAGAUAUUUUAUACAACAAUGUCCAUCAUAGCAUGAUAAUAGCAAAAGAAAUCAGAAAUAACUAAAUGCGGGGGGAGGGUGGAUGAUGGGAAAGGCAGCGGAGCACAACAGACACUAGUAUGGCAAUUUGUAAAUCAAUGGAUGUGUAACUGAUGUGAAUCUGCAAUCUGUG
This 4577-nucleotide long non-coding RNA is filed under the name Marmota monax (woodchuck). The stretch from base 3118 to 3189 matches the Rfam family "tRNA". The record is from RNAcentral. Lineage: Eukaryota; Metazoa; Chordata; Mammalia; Rodentia; Sciuridae.